This 1517-nucleotide ribosomal RNA is filed under the name Pristolepis fasciata (Malayan leaffish). Its description in RNAcentral is "partial 16S ribosomal RNA". It matches the Rfam family "Bacterial large subunit ribosomal RNA", at positions 274 to 2597 of the family's 2925-position model. The record is from RNAcentral. Lineage: Eukaryota; Metazoa; Chordata; Actinopteri; Anabantiformes; Pristolepididae.
CACUCAACAGCUAGCCUCACCCCGCCAAAAACAACAAACCACCAUUAAUAACCCCCAAUACACUACCACAACCCCAAACUAAACCAUUCUACCCCCCAAGUAUGGGCGACAGAAAAGGACCCUCAGAGCUAUAGAAAAAGUACCGCAAGGGAACGCUGAAAAAGAAAUGAAACAACCCAGUAAAGUCAAAAAAAGCAGAGACUAGGCCUCGUACCUUUUGCAUCAUGAUUUAGCCAGUACCCCCCAAGCAAAGCGCACUUUAGUUUGACCCCCCGAAACUAAGUGAGCUACUCCAAGAUAGCCUAAUAACAGGGCCAACCCGUCUCUGUGGCAAAAGAGUGGGAAAAGCUUCGAGUAGAGGUGAUAAACCUACCGAACUUAGUUAUAGCUGGUUGUCUGGGAACUGAAUAGAAGUUCAGCCUCCCGGCUUCUUUAUUCAUCUUUGUCUUACCCCCUCCGAUGCCUUAAGAAACCGAGAGAGUUAUUCAAAGGGGGUACAGCCCCUUUGAUCAAGAUACAACUUUACCAGGUGGAUAAAGAUCACAUAUUAAAACCAAGGCAAAAUGUUCUAGUGGGCCUAAAAGCAGCCACCUCAACAGAAAGCGUUAAAGCUCAGACAUCCCCAUUCAGCCCAUAAUCCCGAUAAUCCAAUCUUAAUCCCCUAACAUUACCAGACCGCCUCAUGCAAACAUGAGGGCGACCAUGCUAAUAUGAGUAAUAAGAAAGACCCCCCUUUCUCCUCGCACACGUGUAAAUCGGAACGGACCCCCCACCGAAUAUUAAUCGGCCUCAAACAAAGAGAGAAAUGAAUAAACAAACAAAACAACUAGAAAAACAUUCAACCGACCACCGUUAGCCCCACACUGGUGUGCCCCCCAGGAAAGACUAAAAGAAAAAGAAGGAACUCGGCAAACACAAGCCUCGCCUGUUUACCAAAAACAUCGCCUCUUGCAACACUAAAGAAUAAGAGGUCCCGCCUGCCCUGUGACAUACGUGUUUAACGGCCGCGGUAUUUUGACCGUGCAAAGGUAGCGCAAUCACUUGUCUUUUAAAUGAAGACCUGUAUGAAUGGCAUAACGAGGGCUUAGCUGUCUCCUUUUUCAAGUCAAUGAAAUUGAUCUCCCCGUGCAGAAGCGGGGAUAACCCCAUAAGACGAGAAGACCCUAUGGAGCUUUAGACACAAGGCAGAUCUUGUUAAUCACCUUUAAACAAAAAGCUAAACCAGAAGAACCCUGCCCUAAUGUCUUUGGUUGGGGCGACCGCGGGGAAACAAACAACCCCCACGUGGAUUAGGAGAACUUCUCCCACAACCAAGAGCCACAGCUCUAAGCAACAGAAUCUCUGACCAUCAGAUCCGGCUACACGCCGAUCAACGGACCGAGUUACCCUAGGGAUAACAGCGCAAUCCCCUUUUAGAGCCCAUAUCGACAAGGGGGUUUACGACCUCGAUGUUGGAUCAGGACAUCCUAAUGGUGCAGCCGCUAUUAAGGGUUCGUUUGUUCAACGAUUAAAGUCCU